This is a long non-coding RNA of Nicotiana tabacum (common tobacco), 1474 nucleotides long. RefSeq lists it as uncharacterized. NCBI's taxonomy places the organism in Eukaryota, Viridiplantae, Streptophyta, Magnoliopsida, Solanales, Solanaceae. The record is from RefSeq and is a predicted model, not a curated record.
UUCUUUCCGCUCUACCAACUUUGUGAAAUUGACAACUCUGCUUUAUAUGAUUUUUUUAGGAACUGAAACUAGUGGUAUUUCUAGCACAUAGAAGCUGUCAUCUUUGUUUUCUUUCCCUGUUUCAAAUAUUCAAGAUGGCAUUGUUUUCUUUACUUUCUUUAAAGACAUCUUGAACUCAUAGUUACUUGUUUGAUGUUUCAAGUUUGGAGUUAACAGGUUAAGAAAGAUCGGCUUUGGGACACUAUCGGAACGAGAGCUCAUUGCUAGUUUAGGAAAUCAUUUUCUCAAAUCUUAAUUAAGAAUUUAAGUGCAUUGCUGAUCGAGUGCAAACUUAACAUUGCAAUACAUAGGAAUUGACUUAUUUUACAAACAUCUAGUCAAUUCUUUAACCCUUUUAGGAAUUAAUAUAUUCUUUUUAUUUUACAUUACAAUACAUAGCCUUAAUUAAAUUUUAGUCCGGAGGGUCAACCAUUUAAUAUGGAUCUUAAAGGGUGCCUUAAGAACCUUCCCUUUAGAUUAAUUGAACCCUUACCUAGAGCCUUUAGGUUAAGUAGACCAUUAACAGAGUUAAUACUUUAUUAAAUUACUUUAAUCACUUUAGUUGUCCUAAUUCACCUUAGAAAUAAUUAGGUGGCGACUCUCUUAAUUAAUUAACCUCGGAAUUACCAAUAUGUUAUACACUAAUUUGACUCGUGUUAAAAUGGGGGAUAACAAUAAUCCCUCAGGCUUCUUUGUGAUGAAAGGGAAGACGAGUUGGCACACUUGCGGCAUGAGGCUAGUCGCAGUCUGAACUACGAAAGCUACCUCGAGGAGCAGCUGCAGAAAAAAACAGAAGACCUGGCAUGCCUUAGGAACAAAGUUGGUUAAGCCAAGCGUGAGUGCGAUGAGCUAAGGGCUCGGGUGGAUACCCAAAUAUCGGCUAAGAAAGAUUCUUUGGCCAAGGCUUCCGCCUUCGAAGUGCAACUUCAUAACGCUAAUGAGAACAGCUUGGUCCGAACGGACAUGAUUCCAAGACUUGAGUCUGAGCUCCUGAAGAUGAAGGCCGAAGUUGUGGAUGCUCGGUCUGAAGCCGAAAUAAUUCGAGCUAAGGCUGAUAAGAAGGUGGCUGCCUAUCUGAAGGAGGCUGCCGAUGCUCGUGCUGAGCUAAGAGGGUCUCUCGACCAGGGGAGUAGGAAUAGUAUACGAGGUGCAAAUUUCGUAGGGAAACCCUCGAGGCAAUUCAUGUCAGGGGCUUCGAUCUCUCGGAAGAGAUAAAGCAGGCGAAGGCAGAAGAAUAUGAUGCUAAGUUUCAUCUGUCUGAUGCCGAAGAUGGUGAGGAAGAAGUUGAUGGACUAUAGUCCCCGAGGGGGACGUAGAUUAGCUUAGGCCUUUCCUUUCUUGUUUUGCGUAGAGUGCUUUCAAAGAACUGUAAAUAAAGCUUGUAUUUUUUCGCAUAUAUGUAUAAAAAGGAAACCUCGUGGCUUUAUUUUACAUA